AGCGGGGUGGGGCAGCCAGGUAGCCCGCUGGGCUCAUAACCCAGAGGUCGGUGGUUCAAAAGGGCCUCAGGCCC
RNAcentral lists this transfer RNA (74 nucleotides) under Candidatus Bathyarchaeota archaeon ex4484_135. RNAcentral's name for it is "tRNA-Met". It matches the Rfam family "tRNA", at positions 1 to 60 of the family's 71-position model. Rfam says of the family: Transfer RNA (tRNA) molecules are approximately 80 nucleotides in length. Their secondary structure includes four short double-helical elements and three loops (D, anti-codon, and T loops). The record is from RNAcentral. Lineage: Archaea; Thermoproteati; Candidatus Bathyarchaeota.